Panicum hallii is the source of this 1738-nucleotide long non-coding RNA. RefSeq lists it as uncharacterized. NCBI's taxonomy places the organism in Eukaryota, Viridiplantae, Streptophyta, Magnoliopsida, Poales, Poaceae. The record is from RefSeq and is a predicted model, not a curated record. The transcript has 3 exons.
AUGUGUAUUGUGGAAACGCCUGUGUAUGGCUAAACUUGCACGCCUCCCUGCGCCAACUGAUAUCUGGCACCCAGUUCCAGCUGAGCACUCCACGCCAUGAGAAUCUCUUCAUCUCCUGAGAUGUGGCGUGGUUGUUUCUCGGAGAAGAUUAGAGCUCCGAGAUGGCUUCAGUUCAGUUCCAGGGAAAUGCAAGCUGAACUCGUGCAACCCUGUCCACAGUUGCUAGAAAAAGGAACUAGAGAGCGAUCGAGAGCCUGCCUGUAAUUUCAGCAAGGUGACCUGCACAUCAUCUCUUCUCUCGUCAGGAUCGGAGAGCGAGCCUUUCAGUCCUCCCAUUCCAUCCAUCACUCACUCCGAUCCGUUCGCCACUGUGGCGUGGCGACGACGCGCGCGAGCCCCCGGCCGGCCGAGCCCGUGCUAUCCAAGUGACCUGCAAGUGCCCGAUCGCCAUCGCCGCUACGGUGAACCCUCCCCAUCUUUACCGACCUCAGAGCCCUGUCCUCCCCGCGCACCGCCAUUGGCGUGACCCGAUCGCAGGCGCACGUUUGGCGCUGUGCUGAACAGCGAGCACCUACCAGCAAUCUAGCCUCACCACAUUCAGCCAGUCCCUAGCCACUAAGAGCGACUCCAGCACCCCUACUUUUUUAAAGUAGAGACCAAAGGCAAAAAAUACAGCGCCUGCAGGGAUCCUACUUGAUCCCUACUCUAGAGAGGCGCCUACUUUCCUUCGCCCGCGAGCCGUACUCCACACGACGGCCUCCGUUCGCGAGCCGCACUCCGCACCGCGGCCUCCGCCCACAAGUAGCCCUGCCGCGGUGCUCAGCUCUUGGACGCCCUCCGCCGCCUGCGCCUAUGAGUGGAGACGGAGCACCGCGACCGGAUCUGGUGGGCGGAGGGGGGUGGAGGGGAACUGGAAGCUGGGAUGCUAGGAGCGGCGGCGGCGGGAAAGAGAAGGAAGCGGCGGCGGGUGAAGAAAGAGAAGUCGCGAGAGAGGAAGCCGAGAGGAGGAGGGGUGCGGGAAAUAAAAAAGAGAAAGAAAAAAAUGAUGAUAGAUUGACAGGUCUUUCACAGGUCGCCGUGAUGCUGCGCUAAGCCUGAACUUUUUCGCGCAAGGCAAAGGCGAGGCGACGCCGUGACAAGCGCGAAGAAGGGUUUCGCGGCAGGGCAAGCAACGCUCUGGCGCUCCCGUGCGGCCGAAAAAUGUUGCUGGGCGGCGUGGUUUGGGCCGUUUCUGGUACGACCCACAAUCGCGCGGCUGAUGGGGCGCGCGCAGCUGGGUUGCGCGGGCCGACGUGUACCGCCGAAGCUGAAGGCCCAGAGCGGGCGUUGAUCACUGAUGGGCUGCUUUAAUUGGGCCGCAGCUGAAAAAAAUAAAUUGGGCCGCAGCCGGGCAGGAUCUCUAGCGACAAUUCCAGGCAAGGAUGGCCGCAGGGACUAGCUCCUGGGCCAGAUUGUGCUAUUGUGGGCCCGCUUGGUUGAUGUGGCCGACGACGGGACUGAGGUGGGCCGGCUUCGCAUCUAGGUUUGUUUGUAUUUUUGGCGCAGUUGGGGGUUGCCGUUGUGUGGACCGCCAAUCUUGGGGCCCGUCUACGGGAUUGGGCUGGAGGUCAUCGCUGAUGGGCUGCUAAAAUUGGGCUGCAGCGGCGCAGGAGGAUCCGGCGGCGGCGGACGGUGGUCCUGGGCCGAUGUGGUAGGGCCCGCUUGGUUGGGGAUGACAGAAGCGGCGAGGUGGGCUUCG